RNAcentral lists this long non-coding RNA (1482 nucleotides) under Serinus canaria (Common canary). Its description in RNAcentral is "lncRNA (ENSSCAG00000015718.1)". Lineage: Eukaryota; Metazoa; Chordata; Aves; Passeriformes; Fringillidae. The record is from RNAcentral.
UCCUGCACCCCGAGGUGCCUCGGCUCACCCAUCCUGGCACGCUGGGUGCUUGGCCCUGGGCUCCAUGCCAUCCUGGCAGAGGGUGGCAGAUGGGUGACAACCCAUCCCAGUGAGCCUGUUCGCUGUGGGCACCCCCAGCCACGCUGUGCCCCUGGGUGCUGGCUCUGCCACACCCACGGGGCAUUUUUGUGCAGUGUCCCCCUGGGGCCAGUCCGGACUUGCUCCUCCUCUUGUGCAAACAGGAUUCGGGCAGAUAAGGGGCACUGCCAGCGCUGCCCGGCAAACCUGCUCUGUCCCACGUGGCCACGGGAGAGUCCCCAGCACGCCUGGCCCUGAGGGUGUCCGGUGGGUGCCACAAGGGCUGGGUUGGCACGUGUCGCUGUGCCCUGGCACUGCCCUCUGCUGCCACGCUGCUCUGCUUGUCCCCAGCAGUGCUGUGCCCGUGCCACGACAGCUGGGGCAGCUCUUUCUGAUUCUGGAUUUCUGGGAUUUGAUAUUGGCCAAAUCCCAGUUUUCUGUGUGAUAAAAACCACCUGGGAAAUGAUCCCUGUGAGGCUGGGAGGAGGGGCAGGUGCUGCUGCCCUGCCAGGACCCUGCCAGGGUCCUGCCAUGUGCUUGCUCAGCAGCUCUCUCCUCCAAGGUGUGGAGCCAGGACGUGGCACUGAUCCUGUCCCCACAGCGUCUCAGAACAGCUCAGGGACAGCCCUGUCACCGUCUCCAUCCCCUUCAGCUGCCAGCCAGGGCACUCUGAGUGUGAGUCCAUCUGGCCCUGACCCAGGAACAGUCAGUGCAGCUCCAUCCAACCAAACCACGGCACCAACCCCACCCAGCACCUCGGGGUCAGCAGCAUCUUCAACAUCUGCAUCCAGCAGCACCACAGCACCAGCCCCUUCCAGCACCUCGGGGUCAAAAACACCUCCAUCAUCUGCACCCAGUACCACCAUACCAACUCCAUCAUCUGCCCCCAGCAUCACCGCACCAGCUCCAUCAUCUGCACCCAGUACCACCAUACCAACUCCAUCAUCUGCACCCAGCACCACAACACCAACAACUCCAUCCAAGACCUCGGGAUCAACACCUCCAUUAUCUUCAUCCAACACCACCACAGCAGCAUCUUCAACCAGGACACUGGGAUCAACUGCACCUUUGACACCCUCAUCCAGUGCCACCACGGCACCAACUCCAUCCCACACGAGUGUGUCCAGACCCACAGAGCAUCCAUCCAAGCCAGCCCCCUCUGGGCCUGCUUCUCCCCCCCCAGCCACCGUGAGCUGGGGUCCCAGCGCUGUCACCACCACCUCCAGAAGGACAGCAGCCACUGGGAGCUCCGAGCAGCACCCCACUGAGCUGAGCCCUGGCGUGGUCGUUGUCACCUCCCUCGCCGUCUGCCUGCUGGUGGCGGCGGGGGCCGUGCUGCUGGUGCGGCUGUGCCGGCGCGGGACCCCCCCCUUCCAGCACCUGGAUGAGGUGCCCAUGGUGCGU